CGCUGGCGGCAGGCCUAACACAUGCAAGUCGAGCGGUAACAGGGGUGCUUGCACCCGCUGACGAGCGGCGGACGGGUGAGUAACGCGUAGGAAUCUACCCAGUAGCGGGGGAUAGCCCGGGGAAACCCGGAUUAAUACCGCAUACGCCCCAAGGGGGAAAGCAGGGGAUCUUCGGACCUUGCACUAUUGGAAGAGCCUGCGUUGGAUUAGCUAGUUGGUAGGGUAAAGGCCUACCAAGGCGACGAUCCAUAGCUGGUCUGAGAGGAUGAUCAGCCACACCGGAACUGAGACACGGUCCGGACUCCUACGGGAGGCAGCAGUGGGGAAUAUUGGACAAUGGGGGCAACCCUGAUCCAGCCAUGCCGCGUGUGUGAAGAAGGCCUUCGGGUUGUAAAGCACUUUAAGUUGGGAGGAAGGGGAGACAGCUAAUACCUGUUUUCAUUGACGUUACCAACAGAAUAAGCACCGGCUAACUCCGUGCCAGCAGCCGCGGUAAUACGGAGGGUACAAGCGUUAAUCGGAAUUACUGGGCGUAAAGCGCGCGUAGGCGGCUGAUUAAGUCGGGUGUGAAAGCCCCGGGCUCAACCUGGGAACUGCAUCCGAUACUGAUCGGCUAGAGUAUGAGAGAGGGAGGUAGAAUUCCACGUGUAGCGGUGAAAUGCGUAGAUAUGUGGAGGAAUACCGGUGGCGAAGCGG
RNAcentral lists this ribosomal RNA (696 nucleotides) under uncultured Microbulbifer sp. RNAcentral describes it as "bacterial SSU rRNA". It matches the Rfam family "Bacterial small subunit ribosomal RNA", at positions 34 to 724 of the family's 1533-position model. Lineage: Bacteria; Pseudomonadati; Pseudomonadota; Gammaproteobacteria; Cellvibrionales; Microbulbiferaceae. The record is from RNAcentral.